UACGGAGGAUGCGAGCGUUAUCCGGAUUUAUUGGGUUUAAAGGGUGCGUAGGCGGGGGCUUAAGUCAGUUGUGAAAGUUUGCGGCUCAACCGUCGGGGUGCAGUUGAUACUGGACGUCUUGAGUGCACACAAGGAUGCCGGAAUUCAUGGUGUAGCGGUGAAAUGCUCAGAUAUCAUGAAGAACUCCGAUCGCGAAGGCAGGUGUCCGGGGUGCAACUGACGCUGAGGCACGAAAGUGCGGGUAUCGAACAGG
RNAcentral lists this ribosomal RNA (253 nucleotides) under uncultured bacterium. RNAcentral's name for it is "partial 16S ribosomal RNA". It matches the Rfam family "Bacterial small subunit ribosomal RNA", at positions 524 to 776 of the family's 1533-position model. The record is from RNAcentral.